RNAcentral lists this long non-coding RNA (573 nucleotides) under Populus trichocarpa (black cottonwood). Its description in RNAcentral is "long non-coding RNA (PTRI_LNC002835)". The record is from RNAcentral. Lineage: Eukaryota; Viridiplantae; Streptophyta; Magnoliopsida; Malpighiales; Salicaceae.
AUAUAUAUAUAUAUAAAAACUCAGCCCAUCGUUUACUUCGAUGGUGGAGGAGAAAAGUCGACUGUGCCAUGGAGUCCACAGGCAUUAAUUAGGAGAUGGGGUUAAACUCUGUAGCUGUCAUAAAUAAGGAGGGUAAUAAAUUCAUGGAAAGUGAUUUGCCUCAACGCCAUGGAAAGUGAUUUGCCUCAACGCCAUCAUCUGCACUCGUUUGUUUUUUUAGUUUCAUCCUCUCCUUUGAUUACAAGUAUUAUUCUUUUAUAGAGCACUAGUAACAUUAAUUACAAUAUAUCAAGAAAUUAAUGGAAUAAAUUAUUAAAUAAAACCCCUUAUUUAUAAUAGUUGAUUAAUGGAAAGUUUUCAUGGAAUAUUAAUUUCUGGUUCUAGCUCAAUGGUCAUUUUCACUUUUCCCGCAGGGAGUCAUGAAAAUUGUUGAUCUAAUUAAUCUUAAGAUGGCUGGUCGAUUCUUAAUCCUAUAUCCUUCUUUAUUUCUGGUUCUAUAGGAUUUGAUUGCAUAACUCUAGAUUUUUUCAAUAUAAAAAUCAAAAUAUACCAUGUAGAGAAUAUAUAUAUAUA